GACGAAAUAUGGCACUAGUAGAAUUCACUGUAGACAACACCCAGUGGUUUCACAGGCGCCAUAAAUUGAA
Molecule: non-coding RNA, 70 nt
Organism: Ciona savignyi (Pacific transparent sea squirt)
Lineage: Eukaryota; Metazoa; Chordata; Ascidiacea; Phlebobranchia; Cionidae
Source: Rfam